AAUAGAUACCCCGGUAGUCCACGCCGUAAACGAUGAGUGCUAAGUGUUAGAGGGUUUCCGCCCUUUAGUGCUGCAGCAAACGCAUUAAGCACUCCGCCCUGGGGAGUACGGUCGCAAGACUGAAACUCAAAGGAAUUGACGGGGGGCCCGCACAAGCGGUGGAGCAUGUGGUUUAAUUCGAAGCAACGCGAAGAACCUUACCAGGUCUUGACAUCCUUAUGCCAUCUCUAGAGAUAGAGCUUUCCCUUCGGGGACAUAAGUGACAGGUGGUGCAUGGUUGUCGUCAGCUCGUGUCGUGAGAUGUUGGGUUAAGUCCCGCAACGAGCGCAACCCUUGAUCUUAGUUGCCAGCUAUUCAGUUGGGCACUCUAAGGUGACUGCCGGUGACAAACCGGAGGGAAGGUGGGGAUGACGUCAAAUCAUCAUGCCCCUUAUGACCUGGGCUACACACGUGCUACAAUGGAUGGUACAAAGGGCAGCGAACCGCGAGGUUAAGCAAAUCCCAUAAAACCAUUCUCAGUUCGGAUUGC
RNAcentral lists this ribosomal RNA (529 nucleotides) under uncultured bacterium. Its description in RNAcentral is "bacterial SSU rRNA". It matches the Rfam family "Bacterial small subunit ribosomal RNA", at positions 777 to 1301 of the family's 1533-position model. The record is from RNAcentral.